RNAcentral lists this ribosomal RNA (394 nucleotides) under Citrobacter freundii. RNAcentral's name for it is "bacterial SSU rRNA". It matches the Rfam family "Bacterial small subunit ribosomal RNA", at positions 864 to 1258 of the family's 1533-position model. Lineage: Bacteria; Pseudomonadati; Pseudomonadota; Gammaproteobacteria; Enterobacterales; Enterobacteriaceae. The record is from RNAcentral.
GUCGACCGCCUGGGGAGUACGGCCGCAAGGUUAAAACUCAAAUGAAUUGACGGGGGCCCGCACAAGCGGUGGAGCAUGUGGUUUAAUUCGAUGCAACGCGAAGAACCUUACCUACUCUUGACAUCCACGGAACUUGCCAGAGAUGGCUUGGUGCCUUCGGGAACCGUGAGACAGGUGCUGCAUGGCUGUCGUCAGCUCGUGUUGUGAAAUGUUGGGUUAAGUCCCGCAACGAGCGCAACCCUUAUCCUUUGUUGCCAGCGAUUCGGUCGGGAACUCAAAGGAGACUGCCAGUGAUAAACUGGAGGAAGGUGGGGAUGACGUCAAGUCAUCAUGGCCCUUACGAGUAGGGCUACACACGUGCUACAAUGGCAUAUACAAAGAGAAGCGACCUCGC